This 496-nucleotide ribosomal RNA is filed under the name uncultured bacterium. RNAcentral describes it as "partial 16S ribosomal RNA". It matches the Rfam family "Bacterial small subunit ribosomal RNA", at positions 28 to 507 of the family's 1533-position model. The record is from RNAcentral.
GUUGAACGCUGGCGGCGUGCCUAAUACAUGCAAGUCGAGCGAACAGACGAGGAGCUUGCUCCUCUGACGUAGCGGCGGACGGGUGAGUAACACGUGGAUAACCUACCUAUAAGACUGGGAUAACUUCGGGAAACCGGAGCUAAUACCGGAUAAUAUAUUGAACCGCAUGGUUCAAUAGUGAAAGACGGUUUUGCUGUCACUUAUAGAUGGAUCCGCGCCGCAUUAGCUAGUUGGUAAGGUAACGGCUUACCAAGGCGACGAUGCGUAGCCGACCUGAGAGGGUGAUCGGCCACACUGGAACUGAGACACGGUCCAGACUCCUACGGGAGGCAGCAGUAGGGAAUCUUCCGCAAUGGGCGAAAGCCUGACGGAGCAACGCCGCGUGAGUGAUGAAGGUCUUCGGAUCGUAAAACUCUGUUAUUAGGGAAGAACAAAUGUGUAAGUAACUAUGCACGUCUUGACGGUACCUAAUCAGAAAGCCACGGCUAACUACGUG